UACUUUCAAAUGCCUGUAUACUUUAUUAAUCAUACUAUUUGCAUACAUCUGAAUUUAUUUAUUUAUGGAGUAUGCUCACUAAGUGUACAGGCACUGCUUGGUGCACAAAUGGCUUCGCCCACCCCUUGCACAGGGAAGCCCCCAGGGUCCCCAGGAGGCGCCCAGGGUCCAAGGCCCGGGGCCUAGAGCUGCUACCGAGGACGCAGAGGCGCUAGGUCCUGCCUUCUACCCUAAACGUUCCUUUAAGCCGGAUUCCCAGGGGCUGCAGGCGGCCCUUCCUGCAAGUCGCCGGGGCAUCGCAGGGCAUCUGCUGCCCCCUAUCGGUGGUGAGGCGAACAAUAACCCGAACCCAGUUAGAAUCGACUAGAAGAGGCCUCUUGAAUAAAAGAAUAUUCCAUGACUACGCAGUAGCCAGAGGACUCUCAGAGCCUGUUUUCCGCAGACAUCCAGCUCCGGCUGCCGCGUUGUAACGCAGGUGUCCGCCAGUCAAGGAGAAGAUGAUGGAUUGUGAGGAGCAAUCUGACGCUGCUUCGGCGAAGGCAGGGAGCGGCGUGGGUUGCGGGGUCCCGGAUACACCCAGGGUUCACCUUGUGUUUUCCACCCUCCCAUUCACCAGUCCACCUCGUCCUUAGGAAAAGCGUUUGCCCUCACUCGGGACGGGGAUGUUCCUUAGGGCACAGCGUGGUGUUUUCCCAAGCCCCUGAAACACCUGUCCCCUCAUAUUACACCUUGAGCAGAGUCCAGUGACCUCUGCUGCAGAGGUGACAAAGGCCACUCUCCUUGAGUAGCCGCCUCAACUGUGUCCAGGAAUGGCCUUCCAACAGCGUGUUACUUCUCUGAUCCCUUUGGUGGGAAUAUGAAUAUGCUUCAGAAAAGUCAAAUAAAUACUGAGAAGAAAACUCUCGGACACCCCCGGCUACCACUGAUGCCCGUACAGUGAAAGUUCCUGCCAGGACCGCACAGGUAAAAUUCGCCUGCCCCAGGGACACAGCCGAGGCUGCUAGCCGACUGAGAACGUGUGUGACAGUUACGUACUGAGAUAUUUCUAAUUUUAUUUUCAUUAUUUUCUCCCACCCCACUACCACUCCCCUUCCACACACACACACACACACACACUUUGCAGUGUCCUAACUUGUUCACUCUUGUCCAUAUUUGCCUUGGCCCUUUUGGGAAGAAGGCAAGAGAAAGAUGAACGAAGGUGAGUGGGGGAAGGGAGGGAGGGGAAGAGGGAGAAUCGCCUUCUACGCAAGACUUUAAGCCGGAAGACGCCCCGGCGGAGGGUCUUCAGGACGACAACGGAAAAGUCCCACUACACGCUCAGAGCGCUGGUGCUGGCGCCCCCAACUGCCGGUGGCAGCAGGAGAUCCGGGAUCCAGUUGGUCCCCUCCGAGGGUUCCGCCCGCCCGCGCUGGCGGUGGGGCCCUCCAGGGUCGCUGCGAGUCUGGGAGAGGAAGGAGGCUCCGCUGGCUCCGUUCUCCCUCCCAGCUCGCCGUGGCCAUGGCCCCGCCAAGUCUCCGCUCCCGAGCGGCCGCAGGUGCCGAGUGGCCGAUCCCCGGAGCGAGUGAAACGCGGGCCUCGCCGCCCCAUCCCGUCCCCGGCUCCAGGAGGGUCUCCGGCGGGUGGCCGCGUCCCCUCGGUCCGGCGCCCCUUCCCCGCGGCCUGUGGGCGCGGCGCGCAGGGGCGCGGGCGGGCGGCGGCUCCCGGGCGCGGGCGGAAGGCGCGGCACCGCCUCGGUCACGGCCGCCGCCGGGCUCAGGCGGAAGCCCGGGCUCCGGAGGGGCGGGGCCGCCGCGCCCGGCGAGGCCCAGGGCUCCGGGCCCCGGCGCGCCCGUCGGUGCAUCAGCGGAACCCCGGCGGCCGCCGCGCCCGCCAGGCACCGAUGGCCCCUGGUCAGCUUCAGCGCCCUCCCCGCGCGUGGUGGGGCGAGGCCGUGCCCACGCGUGUCCGUCCGGCUGCGCGUCUGUCACUUGCACACUCGGAGCCCCUCCGGCCGCGCAGGCCCCGGCUCUGGGGUUGGCGGCUCCCGCGUCUGCCACCUCCAGGACCCGGAGCCGCCAACCCCAGCCUCCCGGCGAGCCGGGACUUCCCGGAUGGGGCCAUGCUUUCCUUCCAGGACAACCAGGGCUCCUCCCCUCCCGGCGAUCUUUCUAGGAGGCCACCUCCAGAGAUUCCGAGGCGAUUUCCUCCCUGCCGGUACCAAACCGGUAACUCCUCUCACUGAAGACACCAGGGGGACUGACAAGCUGAGUGAGUGGCGAGGGACCACCACCACCGAAAAACCCAGCGUUCCACGUGCGCGGACUGUUUUGAUCGGUGGGUUAAUGGGGGAUAGAGGUCCGCUCUCUAUUUUUGAUAGCCCUGAUUUUCAAGCUUUUUACAAAGUUACGUUGUCCUGCUUUCUGCUCGGUCAACAACACAGAAAAUGGAAUAUUGCUUUUUUUGUGAUUCAGAAUCAAUUGUCAUGACAGUGACUUGGAGAUUUUCCCGGCAUCUUGUGAGAUAAAAUGGAGAUGCACACGUAGCACUCAUUACCUGUCAGCCUCUGGCCAGGCAACAGCCUCCCAAACCUGCAGAGGCACUGUUUUCUACCCAGCAUCUCCGGUUGUACUUGUGGCAGAAUUUCCUACUGCUGGAAGCUUAUGAGUGGGCAAAUACUUUCUGUACCUUCUGAGACCACGAGGGCAUGCCAAAACCAGCCACUUGAACAUUAUUCACAAUAACCAAGAUGUGGAAGCAACCCAAGUGCCCAUCGACUGAUGCAUGGGUAAGGAAGAGGUGGUGUAUAUAUACAAUGGAAUACUAUGCAGCCAUAAAAAAGACAAAACCGUCCCAUUUGCAACAACAUGGAUGGACCUUUAGGGUAUUAUGUUAAGCUAAAGACACCAGACAGAGAAAGACAAACACUGCAUGACUUCACUCACAUUUGGAAGGUAAGGAGACCAGGUCUGAGAAUAUUCUGGAGUCCUCUACAGAGGGGAGGGCAGUGAUUGGCAACUCCCAUCUCUUUGCAAACAAGAAGCCAUGUUCUCUGGAGGUUUCCCUGGAAAGGCCAAGAAAUUGUUCACUCUAGGGGAAGCCAGCUGCCAUGCCAUGAGUGUAUUCAACCAGCCCUGUGGAGAGGUCCCCAUGGUGAGGAACUGAGGCCUCCUGCCAACAGCCAUGUGAGUGCGCCAUCUUGAAAGCAGACCUUUCAGGCCCAGUCCAGCCUUCAUAUGACUACAGCCUCAGCCAACAUCUUUGCUAAAACCUGAGGAGAGACUCUGACCCAGAAUCACGUAGCUAAGCCACUUCCUGAUUCUCUGAAGCUAUAUAAGAUAAUAAAGCUUUUUGCUUUAAGUCUGUAA
Molecule: long non-coding RNA, 3344 nt
Organism: Equus asinus (donkey)
Lineage: Eukaryota; Metazoa; Chordata; Mammalia; Perissodactyla; Equidae
Source: Ensembl